GGUUGUGGCUUAGUGGCAAAGCGCUUGUUUAGCAUGUAUGAGGCACUAGGUUCGAUUCUCAGCACCA
Molecule: transfer RNA, 67 nt
Filed under: Marmota monax (woodchuck)
Lineage: Eukaryota; Metazoa; Chordata; Mammalia; Rodentia; Sciuridae
Description: tRNA.Ala
Source: RNAcentral